AACAAGGCGUACCUGCGGACCUGCGGAAGGAUCAUUAUCGAGUUAGGGUCGUUCUGGCCCGAACUUCCAACCCCUUGUUUAUCACACCAUGUUGCUUUGGUAGGCCCGCCCCUCCUUGGGGGGCCGCCGGAGGUUAUCUUACCUCUGGCCCGUGCCUGCCAGUAGCCUUAUUAAAUUCUUUUUUAACUGUGUCGUCUGAGUGGCCUUUUAAAUCGUAAAAACUUUUAACAAUGGAUCUCA
This 240-nucleotide unclassified non-coding RNA is filed under the name soil metagenome. RNAcentral's name for it is "partial contains 5.8S ribosomal RNA, internal transcribed spacer 2, and large subunit ribosomal RNA". The record is from RNAcentral.